This 59-nucleotide microRNA precursor is filed under the name Mus musculus (house mouse). RNAcentral's name for it is "Mmu-Mir-34-P3b_pre stem-loop". It matches the Rfam family "mir-449 microRNA precursor family", at positions 16 to 75 of the family's 86-position model. The record is from RNAcentral. Lineage: Eukaryota; Metazoa; Chordata; Mammalia; Rodentia; Muridae.
AGGCAGUGUUGUUAGCUGGCUGCGUUGGGUCAGGCCAGCAGCCACAGCUACCCUGCCAC